AGAGAGCUUCGGGGCAUAAACUUGUUCUGCACUGAAAUCAAAGUUUAUUUUCGAGGAAAUGUUAUCGUUAACAUGCAGUUUAUAUUCCAGCCUUCCCACCCUGUGAAGGGGGGACAAAGCUGUCCCUGAUAUCUGGGCAGGACAGUUGAGAGGUAUGCGCUAAAUGUAGACAUUCUUAUCUUGUAUCAGUCUGGGAGAGAGGGAAAGUGCGAGCGCACGACUGCAACAUUAACCCCUUCAAAACUACAAGGACCAGCUAAGCAUCACCUGCUAAAUCCACAAGCAGGGAUGUGGUUAAUCAUUACUGGGACAAUCAAUAACAUAUCUCCAUGCAAGCCACACAAGG
Pseudophryne corroboree (corroboree frog) is the source of this 346-nucleotide long non-coding RNA. RefSeq lists it as uncharacterized. Lineage: Eukaryota; Metazoa; Chordata; Amphibia; Anura; Myobatrachidae. The record is from RefSeq and is a predicted model, not a curated record. The transcript has 3 exons.